AACAGGAUUAGAUACCCUGGUAGUCCACGCCGUAAACGAUGUCGACUUGGAGGUUGUGCCCUUGAGGCGUGGCUUCCGGAGCUAACGCGUUAAGUCGACCGCCUGGGGAGUACGGCCGCAAGGUUAAAACUCAAAUGAAUUGACGGGGGCCCGCACAAGCGGUGGAGCAUGUGGUUUAAUUCGAUGCAACGCGAAGAACCUUACCUGGCCUUGACAUCCAGAGAACUUAGCAGAGAUGCUUUGGUGCCUUCGGGAACUCUGAGACAGGUGCUGCAUGGCUGUCGUCAGCUCGUGUUGUGAAAUGUUGGGUUAAGUCCCGCAACGAGCGCAACCCUUAUCCUUUGUUGCCAGCGGUUCGGCCGGGAACUCAAAGGAGACUGCCGGUGAUAAACCGGAGGAAGGUGGGGAUGACGUCAAGUCAUCAUGGCCCUUACGAGUAGGGCUACACACGUGCUACAAUGGCGCAUACAAAGAGAAGCGACCUCGCGAGAGCAAGCGGACCUCAUAAAGUGCGUCGUAGUCCGGAUUGGAGUCUGCAACUCGACUCCAUGAAGUCGGAAUCGCUAGUAAUCGUAGAUCAGAAUGCUACGGUGAAUACGUUCCCGGGCCUUGUACACACCGCCCGUCACACCAUGGGAGUGGGUUGCAAAAGAAGUAGGUAGCUUAACCUUCGGGAGGGCGCUUACCACUUUGUGAUUCAUGACUGGGGUGAAGUCGUAACAAGGUAACC
RNAcentral lists this ribosomal RNA (730 nucleotides) under uncultured bacterium. RNAcentral describes it as "bacterial SSU rRNA". It matches the Rfam family "Bacterial small subunit ribosomal RNA", at positions 771 to 1501 of the family's 1533-position model. The record is from RNAcentral.